Molecule: unclassified non-coding RNA, 250 nt
Filed under: plant metagenome
Description: partial contains small subunit ribosomal RNA, internal transcribed spacer 1, and 5.8S ribosomal RNA
Source: RNAcentral
GUAGGUGAACCUGCGGAAGGAUCAUUAACACGUAUCCACGUAAAAGCCCGAUUCUACAGAAUACUCGCAGCAGUGGUGGUUUCAACCUGGUAUUAGUGGGUUGGUGUCGCAGCAAUGCUUCAUCAGUUCAUUAGUAUCAAGUUGAGAUUGGUGUCGCAGCAAUGCUUCAUCAGUUAGCAAGUUGUGUUCUGGACCACCUACCAUAUCACAGGUGUUAAGAUCCGAAGUAUGAUAAGGAGUACGACAUAAA